CAGUCGCCGCGGUAAUACGAAGGGGGCUAGCGUUGCUCGGAAUGACUGGGCGUAAAGGGCGCGUAGGCGGCUUGCACAGUCAGAUGUGAAAUUCCUGGGCUCAACCUGGGGACUGCAUUUGAUACGUGUGGGCUUGAGUGGAGAAGAGGGUUGUGGAAUUUCCAGUGUAGAGGUGAAAUUCGUAGAUAUUGGAAAGAACACCGGUGGCGAAGGCGGCAACCUGGUCUUUAACUGACGCUGAGGCGCGAAAGCGUGGGGAGCAAACAGGAUUAGAUACCCCAGUAGUCCCUGUCUCUUAUAC
RNAcentral lists this ribosomal RNA (301 nucleotides) under uncultured bacterium. Its description in RNAcentral is "partial 16S ribosomal RNA". It matches the Rfam family "Bacterial small subunit ribosomal RNA", at positions 509 to 807 of the family's 1533-position model. The record is from RNAcentral.